RNAcentral lists this ribosomal RNA (1509 nucleotides) under Salmonella enterica subsp. enterica serovar Corvallis. Its description in RNAcentral is "bacterial SSU rRNA". It matches the Rfam family "Bacterial small subunit ribosomal RNA". Lineage: Bacteria; Pseudomonadati; Pseudomonadota; Gammaproteobacteria; Enterobacterales; Enterobacteriaceae. The record is from RNAcentral.
AGUUUUUUUUCCGGCUCAGAUUGAACGCUGGCGGCAGGCGUAACACAUGCAAGUCGAACGGUAACAGGAAGCAGCUUGCUUCUUUGCUGACGAGUGGCGGACGGGUGAGUAAUGUCUGGGAAACUGCCUGAUGGAGGGGGAUAACUACUGGAAACGGUGGCUAAUACCGCAUAACGUCGCAAGACCAAAGAGGGGGACCUUCGGGCCUCUUGCCAUCAGAUGUGCCCAGAUGGGAUUAGCUUGUUGGUGAGGUAACGGCUCACCAAGGCGACGAUCCCUAGCUGGUCUGAGAGGAUGACCAGCCACACUGGAACUGAGACACGGUCCAGACUCCUACGGGAGGCAGCAGUGGGGAAUAUUGCACAAUGGGCGCAAGCCUGAUGCAGCCAUGCCGCGUGUAUGAAGAAGGCCUUCGGGUUGUAAAGUACUUUCAGCGGGGAGGAAGGUGUUGUGGUUAAUAACCACAGCAAUUGACGUUACCCGCAGAAGAAGCACCGGCUAACUCCGUGCCAGCAGCCGCGGUAAUACGGAGGGUGCAAGCGUUAAUCGGAAUUACUGGGCGUAAAGCGCACGCAGGCGGUCUGUCAAGUCGGAUGUGAAAUCCCCGGGCUCAACCUGGGAACUGCAUUCGAAACUGGCAGGCUUGAGUCUUGUAGAGGGGGGUAGAAUUCCAGGUGUAGCGGUGAAAUGCGUAGAGAUCUGGAGGAAUACCGGUGGCGAAGGCGGCCCCCUGGACAAAGACUGACGCUCAGGUGCGAAAGCGUGGGGAGCAAACAGGAUUAGAUACCCUGGUAGUCCACGCCGUAAACGAUGUCUACUUGGAGGUUGUGCCCUUGAGGCGUGGCUUCCGGAGCUAACGCGUUAAGUAGACCGCCUGGGGAGUACGGCCGCAAGGUUAAAACUCAAAUGAAUUGACGGGGGCCCGCACAAGCGGUGGAGCAUGUGGUUUAAUUCGAUGCAACGCGAAGAACCUUACCUGGUCUUGACAUCCACAGAACUAAUCCAGAGAUGGACUGGUGCCUUCGGGAACUGUGAGACAGGUGCUGCAUGGCUGUCGUCAGCUCGUGUUGUGAAAUGUUGGGGUUAAGUCCCGCAACGAGCGCAACCCUUAUCCUUUGUUGCCAGCGGAUUAGGUCGGGAACUCAAAGGAGACUGCCAGUGAUAAACUGGAGGAAGGUGGGGGGAUGACGUCAAGUCAUCAUGGCCCUUACGACCAGGGCUACACACGUGCUACAAUGGCGCAUACAAAGAGAAGCGACCUCGCGAGAGCAAGCGGACCUCAUAAAGUGCGUCGUAGUCCGGAUUGGAGUCUGCAACUCGACUCCAUGAAGUCGGAAUCGCUAGUAAUCGUGGAUCAGAAUGCCACGGUGAAUACGUUCCCGGGCCUUGUACACACCGCCCGUCACACCAUGGGAGUGGGUUGCAAAAGAAGUAGGUAGCUUAACCUUCGGGAGGGCGCUUACCACUUUGUGAUUCAUGACUGGGGUGAAGUCGUAACAGGGGGAAACC